UCUUUGUGUAGAAAAAGGCCAUUGACU
RNAcentral lists this non-coding RNA (27 nucleotides) under Mus musculus (house mouse). Lineage: Eukaryota; Metazoa; Chordata; Mammalia; Rodentia; Muridae. The record is from RNAcentral.